RNAcentral lists this non-coding RNA (751 nucleotides) under Eucinetus haemorrhoidalis. Lineage: Eukaryota; Metazoa; Arthropoda; Insecta; Coleoptera; Eucinetidae. The record is from RNAcentral.
UUAAAUUUUAAUUUAAGAUUUAUAAUUAGGUUUUAUUUUUUAUUAAAUGUAAAUUUUAUUUUAGAGAAUUAUUGAGCAAUAAUUAAAUUUUAUAAUCAAAUAAGUUUGGAAUAAGAAAUAAUAUUAAUUAGGAACAAAUUUUGUGCCAGCAGUUGCGGUUAUACAAAAUCUAAAAAUUAAUUAUUUUAGUUUAUAAUUAAAUUUUUUAUUAAAAUUAAUAUUAAAUUUUUUAAGGUAAAAUUUAAAAAUUUAUAAAUAAUUUGAAAUAAUUGAUUGAAGUUAUGAAAUUUUUUAAUAAACUAGGAUUAGAUACCCUAUUAUAUUUAAUGUAAAUAAGAAUACUAAAUUAUUAAUAGAUAUGUGCUUUAAAUUUAAAGAUUUUGGCGGUAUUUUAGUCUAUUCAGAGGAACCUGUUCUAUAAUUGAUAAUCCACGAUUUGAUUUAUCUAUAUUAUAAAUUUAUAUAUCGUUGUUAUAAGAAUAUAUUUAAAAGUUAUAAAUUUUCAUUAAUUAUUAAUUAUAAUUUAAAUCAAAUCAAGGUGUAGUAGAUGUAUAGAAAGUAAUGGGUUACAAUAAAUUUAUUUAUGGAUAUUAUUUUUUAAAAUUAAUUGAAAAUGGAUUUGAAAGUAAUUUUAUUUAAUUAAAUAAAAUGAUUUUAGCUCUAAAAUAUGUACAUAUUGCCCGUCACUUCCAUUAUAAAAUGGAAUAAGUCGAAACAUAGUAGAUGUACUGGAAAGUGUAUCUAGAAAGUC